Molecule: unclassified non-coding RNA, 228 nt
Filed under: plant metagenome
Description: partial contains small subunit ribosomal RNA and internal transcribed spacer 1
Rfam family: Eukaryotic small subunit ribosomal RNA (bases 1-46)
Source: RNAcentral
AAGUCGUAACAAGGUUUCCGUAGGUGAACCUGCGGAAGGAUCAUUAAACAUAUUACGGGGGGCCGGACCCAAGGUGCGUGGAUUUCCAUGUGCUUUGACCCGCCCUGUCUGAAUAUUCUACCCAUGUCUUUUGCGUACUAUUCGUUUCCUCGGUGGGCUUGCCUGCCGAUAGGACACUAUAAACCUUUUGUAAUUGCAGUCAGCGUCAGAAAUAAUUUAAUAAUUAAA